AUGCUUACUUUGGCAGCACAGACAGUGAAAUUGGAACCAGAGAAUAGGCUGGCCCUUGCACGAGGAUGACAUGUAAAAUUUAUGGGCAUUCCAUAUUUGU
Molecule: small nuclear RNA, 100 nt
Filed under: Urocitellus parryii (Arctic ground squirrel)
Lineage: Eukaryota; Metazoa; Chordata; Mammalia; Rodentia; Sciuridae
Source: RNAcentral